This 480-nucleotide ribosomal RNA is filed under the name Triticum aestivum (bread wheat). RNAcentral describes it as "partial small subunit ribosomal RNA". The record is from RNAcentral. Lineage: Eukaryota; Viridiplantae; Streptophyta; Magnoliopsida; Poales; Poaceae.
AUGAGUAUCAUCAGUUGGAACUGCCGUGGGCUCGGGAACCCCGAGGCAGUUCGAGAGCUUUGUAGUGUGGUGAAGCAACAAGGGCCUACCCUACUCUUUGUUAUGGAAACAAAGAUAAGGGCAGCAAGGGUGGAAAAUCUGAAGCUGACUUUGAGUUUUGAGGGUUGUUUUGCAGUUAACAGUGUUGGUUUAAGCGGAGGCAUCGGUUUGUUUUGGUCAAAGGAUGUCUCGGUUGAUCUAAAAAAUUCAAUACCUGCCACAUCGAUGCAGUGGUGUGGAAAAAGGAUCAAAGCUCAUUCGAGUGGAGAUUCACUGGGUUCUAUGGUGCAUCAAGGGUUGAGGAGAGACACCACAGCUGGUGUUUCCUUCGCACUUUGUAUGCUAUCAAUCAUAACGCAUGGGUAUGCAUGGGUGACUUCAAUGAAACGCUCUACGGGGAAGAACAUUUUAGUCGCUCACCUCGGCCAGAGGGACAGAUGA